RNAcentral lists this ribosomal RNA (253 nucleotides) under uncultured bacterium. Its description in RNAcentral is "partial 16S ribosomal RNA". It matches the Rfam family "Bacterial small subunit ribosomal RNA", at positions 524 to 776 of the family's 1533-position model. The record is from RNAcentral.
GACGGAGGGCGCAAGCGUUGUUCGGAAUUACUGGGCGUAAAGCGCGCGCAGGCGGGAAGAUAAGUCUGGAGUGAAAUUCCGGGGCUCAACUCCGGAGCUGCCAUUGAAACUGUUAGACUUGAGGAUGAGAGAGGUGAGUGGAAUUCCCAGUGUAGAGGUGAAAUUCGUAGAUAUUCGGAAGAACACCAGUGGCGAAGGCGACUUACUGGACACAUAUUGACGCUGAGGUGCGAAAGCGUGGGGAGCAAACAGG